CAGUAGCCACGGGAAUACGUAGGUGGCAAGCGUUGUCCGGAAUUAUUGGGCGUAAAGGGCUCGCAGGCGGUUUCCUAAGUCUGAUGUGAAAGCCCCCGGCUCAACCGGGGAGGGUCAUUGGAAACUGGGAAACUUGAGUGCAGAAGAGGAGAGUGGAAUUCCACGUGUAGCGGUGAAAUGCGUAGAGAUGUGGAGGAACACCAGUGGCGAAGGCGACUCUCUGGUCUGUAACUGAUGCUGAGGAGCGAAAGCGUGGGGAGCGAACAGGAUUAGAUACCCGUGUAGUCCCUGUCUCUUAUAC
This 301-nucleotide ribosomal RNA is filed under the name uncultured bacterium. RNAcentral's name for it is "partial 16S ribosomal RNA". It matches the Rfam family "Bacterial small subunit ribosomal RNA", at positions 509 to 807 of the family's 1533-position model. The record is from RNAcentral.